GAUCCUGGCUCAGGAUGAACGCUAGCUACAGGCUUAACACAUGCAAGUCGAGGGGCAGCAUUCCAGUUUGCUUGCAAACUGGAGAUGGCGACCGGCGCACGGGUGAGUAACACGUAUCCAACCUGCCGAUAACUCGGGGAUAGCCUUUCGAAAGAAAGAUUAAUACCCGAUGGCCUAAUAGAACCGCAUGGUUUGAUUAUUAAAGAAUUUCGGUUAUCGAUGGGGAUGCGUUCCAUUAGGCAGUUGGUGGGG
RNAcentral lists this ribosomal RNA (252 nucleotides) under uncultured bacterium. RNAcentral's name for it is "partial 16S ribosomal RNA". It matches the Rfam family "Bacterial small subunit ribosomal RNA", at positions 15 to 257 of the family's 1533-position model. The record is from RNAcentral.